Non-coding RNA from Pelobates cultripes (western spadefoot toad), 232 nucleotides. The record is from the annotation of a GenBank genome assembly. NCBI's taxonomy places the organism in Eukaryota, Metazoa, Chordata, Amphibia, Anura, Pelobatidae.
CAACACGCAACAGAACACCAUAACACACUUCACAUAGCUACCCAUUGCUACUUAAAACACACAACUGCUACAGUUACCCCGCUCGUAACAAAAACCACAACAAACAAGCUUUGCAAUACACCUGGCUACCUAGAAAGACCAAAAACACAAUUAGGCUAACAGCAUGGGUGCGCUAGUUGAAACUAGAGACCACAACUGUAAAGCAACCUGUUAGAAAAAAGCUAAAAUUGUG